This 253-nucleotide ribosomal RNA is filed under the name uncultured bacterium. Its description in RNAcentral is "partial 16S ribosomal RNA". It matches the Rfam family "Bacterial small subunit ribosomal RNA", at positions 524 to 776 of the family's 1533-position model. The record is from RNAcentral.
UACGAAGGUGGCAAGCGUUGUUCGGAUUUACUGGGCGUACAGGGAGCGUAGGCGGUUGGAUAAGCCCUCCGUGAAAUCCCCAGGCUUAACCUGGAAAGUGCAGAGGGGACUGUUCAGCUAGAGGAUGGGAGAGGAGCGCGGAAUUCCCGGUGUAGCGGUGAAAUGCGUAGAGAUCGGGAGGAAGGCCGGUGGCGAAGGCGGCGCUCUGGAACAUUUCUGACGCUGAGGCUCGAAAGCGUGGGGAGCAAACAGG